RNAcentral lists this ribosomal RNA (562 nucleotides) under uncultured bacterium. RNAcentral describes it as "bacterial SSU rRNA". It matches the Rfam family "Bacterial small subunit ribosomal RNA", at positions 119 to 674 of the family's 1533-position model. The record is from RNAcentral.
AGGAAUCUGCCUAUUAAUGGGGGACAACAUCUCGAAAGGGAUGCUAAUACCGCAUACGCCCUACGGGGGAAAGCAGGGGAUCACUUGUGACCUUGCGUUAAUAGAUGAGCCUAAGUCGGAUUAGCUAGUUGGUGGGGUAAAGGCCUACCAAGGCGACGAUCUGUAGCGGGUCUGAGAGGAUGAUCCGCCACACUGGGACUGAGACACGGCCCAGACUCCUACGGGAGGCAGCAGUGGGGAAUAUUGGACAAUGGGGGGAACCCUGAUCCAGCCAUGCCGCGUGUGUGAAGAAGGCCUUAUGGUUGUAAAGCACUUUAAGCGAGGAGGAGGCUCUUUUGGUUAAUACCCAAGAUGAGUGGACGUUACUCGCAGAAUAAGCACCGGCUAACUCUGUGCCAGCAGCCGCGGUAAUACAGAGGGUGCGAGCGUUAAUCGGAUUUACUGGGCGUAAAGCGUGCGUAGGCGGCUUUUUAAGUCGGAUGUGAAAUCCCCGAGCUUAACUUGGGAAUUGCAUUCGAUACUGGGAAGCUAGAGUAUGGGAGAGGAUGGUAGAAUUCCAGGU